ACCAACACAAAUGUCAUUUCAUUUCUUAUUCUGUUAUCUGGGAUUUUGUUAAUAUCUGUUCUCUAGAAAUUUAUGGGCAGUUCUUGAUAUUUUGCAUCUAUUUUUUCUUUUAGGAUUCCAAGUCAAAGUAAAAGUAGCCAAUCAUUAGAAAAUGAGUAGGUUCACCCACCAAACAAACAAUGAGAGGUUUAUAAAAAGAAUUUUGAUAAACAUGUAACAAAAGUAUACAUUUUUGAGCCUCGAGAAUGGUGGAUCCUCAACACACAAGAUAUUUAAGGACAUUAGUUAGGCUACAUUAAAUUAGCUGGUAAUGCACCUGAGCAAAGAUCCAAGAACACUGAUACAGAAAGCUGGAUUUUAGCAACUCCUGGAUUAAAACUUAAAGAAAGGUUAGAUCUCAAUACAUUGAAUGUUAAGAGUAAAUUACAAAAACCACCCUAAGAUUAGGGAUAAAUUAUAUUUACACCCAAUAGUAUGAAAAACCUACACUUACCCCCCUGAGGUUUAUUUUUAUCCAAUACUUCAACCCAUAACUUAAUAGAAUGUUAGUCAAACCGUUAACCUUUAAUGGGCCCCAAAUGCCACAUCAGAAAAAAAUUGAAAAUGACCAAAAUGACCUUACAAAAAUCUUCCUAAGGUUUAUGUUUAUUACACUUACACCCAAUAUUUUAUAAACACCAACACUUACACCCAUUUAAAUUGACGGCGUUAGUGAACCCGUUCAUCUAUUGUAAAAAUACAAAAUUAUCUCUAUAAGAAAAUACGGCUCCUUUUUCACUUUGCCGACUCUCGGAACUUUCAAAAUAUUACAUCUUCAAGAGUCUUCUUCUCUUUCACCACCCCACAACAAGCAUCCUUCCCCACCACAAGCAUCCUUUUCCGACGAGCGACCAACAACAAGCUUUCUUUCCAACCAACAUCCGACGUCGAGCAUCCUUCCCAACCAGCCUCCAUCUUUCUUGAUCAGAUUUUGUUCUCGCUUCUCCGCCCGCUACAUCAUAGGGAUCAAGAACACUAGUGUAUUAUUUGCUGAUUUUGAGUUCUACUUAUCCAAUAUUGUAGGCAUGAUUUCUUAAUAUUGUCACUGUAAAUAAGAAUUCUUAUGUCUACAUAUGGAGCUAUAAUAGCUCUGGCAGCCUAUCAUCAAAAGGAUUCAAAUCAGUAUGCACGUGAGAACUCUUCUUUUUUGAAUGUGCAUCAGUUGUGAUUCCAUAGCCUGGCUUGGACCAUGGAUAGACUGGCUCAAGCAACAAAACUCUUAAUGAUAGUUUCUGCGGUAAAAAUUUUCGAGACAUCCACUUGCUUGAAAAAUCUAGAUUGCUUUUCUCUUAGCACAUGAUUGUUUUCUGAUAAUUCAUCAAGA
RNAcentral lists this long non-coding RNA (1363 nucleotides) under Phoenix dactylifera (date palm). RNAcentral describes it as "long non-coding RNA (PDAC_LNC014882)". Lineage: Eukaryota; Viridiplantae; Streptophyta; Magnoliopsida; Arecales; Arecaceae. The record is from RNAcentral.